AGCGAGUCUGAAGAGUGCUUUGAGUAUUUGGUCGGAGACCCGAAACCAGGUGAUCUACCCUUGGUCAGGUUGAAGUUCAGGUAACACUGAAGGGAGGACCGAACCGACUUACGUUGAAAAGUGAGCGGAUGAACUGAGGGAAGCGGAGAAAUUCCAAUCGAACUUGGAGAUAGCGGGUUCUCUCCGAAAUAGCUUUAGGGCUAGCCUCAAGUGAUGAUUAUUGGGGGUAGAGCACUGUUUGGACGAGGGGCCCCUCUCGGGUUACCGAAUUCAGACAAACUCCGAAUGCCAAUUAAUUUAACUUGGGAGUCAGAACAUGGGUGAUAAGGUCCGUGUUCGAAAGGGAAACAGCCCAGACCACCAGCUAAGGUCCCAAAAUAUAUGUUAAGUGGAAAAGGAUGUGGCGUUGCCCAGACAACUAGGAUGUUGGCUUAGAAGCAGCCAUCAUUUAAAGAGUGCGUAAUAGCUCACUAGUCGAGUGACACUGCGCCGAAAAUGUAACGGGGCUAAACAUAUUACCGAAGCUGUGGAUUGUCCUUUGGACAAUGGUAGGAGAGCGUUCUAAGGGCGUCGAAGCAUGAUCGCAAGGACAUGUGGAGCGCUUAGAAGUGAGAAUGCCGGUGUGAGUAG
This 630-nucleotide ribosomal RNA is filed under the name Staphylococcus epidermidis. RNAcentral describes it as "bacterial LSU rRNA". It matches the Rfam family "Bacterial large subunit ribosomal RNA", at positions 676 to 1309 of the family's 2925-position model. Lineage: Bacteria; Bacillati; Bacillota; Bacilli; Caryophanales; Staphylococcaceae. The record is from RNAcentral.